UCGGCGGAAUGCUCAGUAACACGUCGGUAAUCUGCCCUAUGGUCAUCGAUAACUUCGGGAAACUGAAGGUAAACGAUGAUAGGAAAAUCGCCUGGAAUGGUUUUUUCCCAAACUCGUGCCAUAGGAUGAGGUGGCGGUCGAUUAGGUCGUUGGCGGGGUAAUGGACCACCAAGCCUAAGAUCAGUACGGGCCUUGAGAGAGGUAGCCCGGAGAGGGACACUGAGAUACUGGUCCCAGCCCUACGGGGUGCAGCAGGCGCGUAACCUUUACAAUGCGCGCAAGUGUGAUAAGGGUAUCCCGAGUGCUCAUGUUUUACAUGGGCUUUUGCCAAGAGUAAAUAUCUUGGAGAAUAAGUGGUGGGUAAGACUGGUGCCAGCCGCCGCGGUAACACCAGCGCCACAAGUGGCAACCACGUUUAUUGGGCCUAAAGCGUCCGUAGCCGGUUUGGUAAAUCUCUUGUGAAAUCGUCAGGCUCAACCUGACGGCGUGCAUGAGACACUGCCAAACUCGAGACCGGGAGGAGUCAAAGGUAUUUCAGGGGGAGCGGUAAAAUGUGAUAAUCCCUGGAAGAUCACCUAUGGCGAAGGCAUUUGACCAGAACGGAUCUGACGGUCAGGGACGAAGGCUAGGGGAGCGAUCCGGAUUAGAUACCCGAGUAGUCCUAGCAGUAAACGCUGCGAGCAAGAUGUUGCAUAUCUCAUGAGGAUAUGCAGUAUCGAAGCGAAGGUGUUAAGUUCGCCGCCUGGGAAGUACGGUCGCAAGACUGAAACUUUAAGGAAUUGGCGGGGGAGCACUACAAGGGGUGCGGCGUGCGGUUUAAUCUAAUUUAACACAGAGAAUCUCACCAGAAGCGACGGCAGGAUGAAGGUCAGUCUAAAGGGCUUACCCUACGAGCCGAGAGGUAGUGCAUGGCCGCCGUCAGCUCGUACCGUAAGGUGUCCUGUUAAGUCAGGCAACGAGCGAGACCUAUACCUGCUAUUACUAACAGCUGUAUUUGGGACCGGGCACAUUGUGAGAACCGCCCUGGAAACGGGGAGGAAGGUGUAGGCUACGGUAGGUCUGUAUGCUCCGAAUCUUCUGGGCUACACGCGCGCAACAAUGGUAAGGACAAUAGGAUGCAACUCCGUAAGGAGAAGCCAAUCCUUCAAACAUUACCUCAGUUCGGAUUGCGGAUUGAAACUCAUCCGCAUGACGCCGGAAUCCCUAGUAAUCAGAAUUCAUCAAAUUCUGGUGAUAUGUCCUGCUCCUUGCACACACCGCCCGU
Molecule: ribosomal RNA, 1264 nt
Filed under: uncultured prokaryote
Description: partial 16S ribosomal RNA
Rfam family: Archaeal small subunit ribosomal RNA
Source: RNAcentral